This is an RNA transcript of Folsomia candida, 807 nucleotides long. RefSeq lists it as uncharacterized. Lineage: Eukaryota; Metazoa; Arthropoda; Collembola; Entomobryomorpha; Isotomidae. The transcript has 7 exons. The record is from RefSeq and is a predicted model, not a curated record.
UCGUACUAUAUCAUAAAUAAAUAGAAAAAAACGUCGUGACUAAAUACUACAAAAAUGAAGCUUGUUGCAAUUGCUGUCGUUCUUGCCUUUGGCUUUGUGGAACCCCAUGGCUACCUCAUGGAACCCUUGGCCAGGACCUCCAUACAUUUGGACCCCAAUCAACCAUACAACCCACCUUAUUGGUAUGACAACAAAGGAGUCUGGUGCAAUAAUGUUCAUCAAGAUCUCCAAUAUAGUCAGUGUGGAAGCGUGGAGAGGCCGCUGGUAACUACGACGCUUCCCAAGGUGGUAUUUACGACAAAGGGGUUCUUACCGGCAAUUACACUUCGGGAUCUAUAAUUGAAAUCAAAGCAGGCCUUGACAACGCCCAUUUUGGUCACUUUCAAAUGGAGCUUUGCGCCCAGGAGCAAGAGACCAACAACUGCUUCAACCUCCUUCCAGUCGUCUCGGCCUCGCAGCCGUUGAGAGGAGAAUACCAAGUCUGCAUCCCGUUCGACAACCCUGCACCACCUAAUGACAUUGUCACCGUCCGCCUCCAGCUCCCAGCCGGAGUUAGGUGCAGUAGGUGUACCCUCCGGUGGACCUACAGGACCUCGUAUCCUAAUGGAGCACCAGACUGGAACAAUUGCUAUACUGCAGCUCCAGCCCAAACCUUCCGGAACUGUGCGGACAUCAGCAUCAAUUAAAAACAGAAUAUAAAAAUGAACACAAAUUAUUGUAUCCCCAGUACAAUCUGUACACAAUGUGUAAACAAUUUUAUCAAUAUUCAAAUAAAAAGCAAGAUAAAUAACUGCAGAUAUUUAAUUA